This 429-nucleotide ribosomal RNA is filed under the name bacterium. Its description in RNAcentral is "partial 16S ribosomal RNA". It matches the Rfam family "Bacterial small subunit ribosomal RNA", at positions 355 to 776 of the family's 1533-position model. The record is from RNAcentral.
UAGGGAAUCUUCCACAAUGGACGCAAGUCUGAUGGAGCAACGCCGCGUGAGUGAAGAAGGUUUUCGGAUCGUAAAGCUCUGUUGUUGGUGAAGAAGGAUAGAGGCAGUAACUGGUCUUUAUUUGACGGUAAUCAACCAGAAAGUCACGGCUAACUACGUGCCAGCAGCCGCGGUAAUACGUAGGUGGCAAGCGUUGUCCGGAUUUAUUGGGCGUAAAGCGAGCGCAGGCGGAAUGAUAAGUCUGAUGUGAAAGCCCACGGCUCAACCGUGGAACUGCAUCGGAAACUGUCAUUCUUGAGUGCAGAAGAGGAGAGUGUAAUUCCAUGUGUAGCGGUGGAAUGCGUAGAUAUAUGGAAGAACACCAGUGGCGAAGGCGGCUCUCUGGUCUGCAACUGACGCUGAGGCUCGAAAGCAUGGGUAGCGAACAGG